Odocoileus virginianus texanus is the source of this 755-nucleotide non-coding RNA. Lineage: Eukaryota; Metazoa; Chordata; Mammalia; Artiodactyla; Cervidae. The record is from RefSeq and is a predicted model, not a curated record.
ACUUAAAUUGAAGAAAGUAGGGAACACUACUAGACCAUUCAGCUUGCUGAAGACCUGGGGUUACCUGAUUCUCCAGCUUAUAAAGAGCAGCUGGAUUAUAUGAAAUCCCUCAACUUGUGUGUGUUGGCAACUACUCUAAAAGGUAAACCUUGUGCAGGAAGAAUGGAGCACCCAAGAGCGCCAAUCUGCACCCUCUGCUACGUUAGGAAGGGUCCAUGUGCUCAAGAGGACGUAGGUCUGAGUUAACUCACACGCUGAAGCUGCAUGGACAUUGAUUUUAAUCACAGCAUAUGGAGGAACUUCCCAACAAGCACAUCUAGACAACGGUGGAAUAGUCAUUCCCCCUCAGAAGUGCGGCUGCCCCCUGGGGACCUGCAGCAGCACGUAUGACAGAUGACCAUCUCUCAGCUGUGCUGCAAGUGAGAUUGGACCUCAUGAGUCUCAGGCUCCUCCCAUGUUGAGUCUAUAAAUCUACAUACUCACAGCAGGCUGUGAUAUGACGAGUGUCUUUUCUUUGGAUUACAAAAUAAAUUGUUGUUUAUAAAGAGCCAGUAAGGGCAAAAGGCAUAGGCAGCAGGAGGAAGUGGGCUUCAAGAAGCAGCUGUCACUGGACAGAGAUCAAUAAAGUGACUUGGUUAUAAAAUAAGUUUGAAACAUCUUCCUCUCAAACUUGUCUUAUCUGGAAAAAAAAAAAAAGGCCAAAAUCUUUUACUAUUCCCUUUUGGUUAUCUGAAUAAAACAAAGCAGAGAUGUGA